UCCCUGGUGGUCUAGUGGUUAGGAUUUGGUGCUCUCAUUGCUGCUUCCUGGGUUUCAAUUCCUGGUUAGGGAA
Molecule: non-coding RNA, 73 nt
Organism: Ataeniobius toweri
Lineage: Eukaryota; Metazoa; Chordata; Actinopteri; Cyprinodontiformes; Goodeidae
Source: the annotation of a GenBank genome assembly